RNAcentral lists this ribosomal RNA (720 nucleotides) under Streptomyces sp. KLBMP 03665. RNAcentral describes it as "bacterial SSU rRNA". It matches the Rfam family "Bacterial small subunit ribosomal RNA", at positions 66 to 802 of the family's 1533-position model. Lineage: Bacteria; Bacillati; Actinomycetota; Actinomycetes; Kitasatosporales; Streptomycetaceae. The record is from RNAcentral.
ACGAUGAACCACUUCGGUGGGGAUUAGUGGCGAACGGGUGAGUAACACGUGGGCAAUCUGCCCUGCACUCUGGGACAAGCCCUGGAAACGGGGUCUAAUACCGGAUAUUGACCUUCACGGGCAUCUGUGAGGUUCGAAAGCUCCGGCGGUGCAGGAUGAGCCCGCGGCCUAUCAGCUUGUUGGUGAGGUAAUGGCUCACCAAGGCGACGACGGGUAGCCGGCCUGAGAGGGCGACCGGCCACACUGGGACUGAGACACGGCCCAGACUCCUACGGGAGGCAGCAGUGGGGAAUAUUGCACAAUGGGCGAAAGCCUGAUGCAGCGACGCCGCGUGAGGGAUGACGGCCUUCGGGUUGUAAACCUCUUUCAGCAGGGAAGAAGCGAAAGUGACGGUACCUGCAGAAGAAGCGCCGGCUAACUACGUGCCAGCAGCCGCGGUAAUACGUAGGGCGCAAGCGUUGUCCGGAAUUAUUGGGCGUAAAGAGCUCGUAGGCGGCUUGUCACGUCGGUUGUGAAAGCCCGGGGCUUAACCCCGGGUCUGCAGUCGAUACGGGCAGGCUAGAGUUCGGUAGGGGAGAUCGGAAUUCCUGGUGUAGCGGUGAAAUGCGCAGAUAUCAGGAGGAACACCGGUGGCGAAGGCGGAUCUCUGGGCCGAUACUGACGCUGAGGAGCGAAAGCGUGGGGAGCGAACAGGAUUAGAUACCCUGGUAGUCCACGCCG